GCGAGAGUGGCGGAAUUGGUAGACGCGCGGGGCUUAGGACCCCGUGGUUCAUGGAACCGUGGGGGUUCGAGUCCCCCCUCUCGCACCA
RNAcentral lists this transfer RNA (88 nucleotides) under Candidatus Anoxymicrobium japonicum. RNAcentral's name for it is "Actinobacteria bacterium HGW-Actinobacteria-3 tRNA-Leu". It matches the Rfam family "tRNA". From Rfam's summary of the family: Transfer RNA (tRNA) molecules are approximately 80 nucleotides in length. Their secondary structure includes four short double-helical elements and three loops (D, anti-codon, and T loops). Lineage: Bacteria; Bacillati; Actinomycetota; Candidatus Geothermincolia; Candidatus Geothermincolales; Candidatus Anoxymicrobiaceae. The record is from RNAcentral.